Molecule: long non-coding RNA, 1186 nt
Organism: Eleginops maclovinus (Patagonian blennie)
Lineage: Eukaryota; Metazoa; Chordata; Actinopteri; Perciformes; Eleginopidae
Exons: 4
Source: RefSeq, a predicted model, not a curated record
GGAACUUCAACUCACACUAGGGCAAGCUGAUAAAGAGGAACAUACAAUACAAUAGACAGUGAAUCACACGGAACUAAAGGAUUAAAAAGGCAGACAGCAUGUAGUAUCCAAGAGGAAAUUGUCCUAAAUAAAGAGCCUUGGAGCUGGUGGCAGAGGUGGCAGACUGCCGCAGGGUGGUCCUGAGGAAGACGUGCUGCUGCUUCUUGUACUCAUCACAGGUCAGAAACUUCUCCUGCUCGGCGUGAAAAAGCCUCACCACGUCUCCCUGACGGAGAACACGAGCAAAACAUGAGAAAGCCGAGGUUGUCCAGCAAUUCGAUGUUGCUUGCAUGGAGAGGCUGCCCUGCGUUCACCGGCAUCAGCACCACCUUGUCUCCAACCACCACCUUCAACACGAAAAGAAACAGCAGUCAUAUCGCAGCACAGGAGGAGACACAGGCUGGUAAACUUGAUCAAGUUUUCAAAUCAAACCGGAGGGUGCUCGUCUUCACAUCCACUUCAGGGGGAGGAGACUGCUGCUGUCAGGCUCCGAGAAAAUUCCGCUCAAUCACAGGUUUCGGUUUUUAUUCGGAGCAGGCCCUCCAAAAAGUCAUUAACAUAUAUAUGCCCUUUUCCCUAUAGCUGUAUUGUUUCAGAAGAUCAAAGUGUAUUAUAAAGUUUGCCUAACAGGCUACCUACGUUUUGAUUAUAUUAAAAUACUGCACGAUAAGAAGUGUGAAUGUAUGGACAUAAACAUUACUCAAUAGUGAGUUCACUUUUUUCAAACUGUUAUAAAUGAACAAUACAAAACAAGUUAAGUUGGACUAUAAUGUGGAUCUAUUAGUAUUGCUUUGACACAACUUUUCCAAUGCUAUGACCACAUCUCGGAAAUUUCCUUGACUGUUUUCUUACUCAAACUUAACCACCACUAAAUUUAUACACACUCCAUUUGCACACGUUAACAAACUUUUGUUAGCAGAGUUAUAAUUCACAACAUGACAUAAAUUUGGAUCAGGCAUGCAAAAAAAAUAUUUCCUAGCAGUAGGCCUACAAAGAGAGGACAAACAGUGGAAUGUGGAUGAUCACUUGUGGCCAAAUGCAGAAGACAUGGUUCACUAGCACUGUUAUAUAUCCAAGUAAGUUUCAUUCUGUGCACUUGUUUUGCAAAAAAGGCAUAAAUAAAGGCAAAUAAACGUAAUAAAACAUU